GAUGAACGUUGGCGGCGUGCCUAAUACAUGCAAGUCGAACGAAGACUGUAGUAAUACUGUCUUAGUGGCGAACGGGUGAGUAACGCGUGGGUGACCUGCCCCCGAAGUGUGGGAUAACAGUUCGAAAGGAUUGCUAAUACUGCAUAACAUCCAAGAGAUUAGACGCUUUUUGGAUUAAAGAAGUAAUUCGCUUCGGGAGGGGCCCGCGUCCCAUCAGCUAGUUGGUAAGGUAAUGGCUUACCAAGGCGACGACGGGUAGCCGGCCUGAGAGGGUGACCGGCCACACUGGGACUGAGACACGGCCCAGACUCCUACGGGGGGCAGCAGUGGGGGAUCUUGCACAAUGGGCGAAAGCCUGAUGCAGCGACGCCGCGUGAGCGAAGAAGGCCUUGGUUGUAAGACUCUGUCUGGAGGGACGGAAACAAAUAGACGGUACCUCCGGAGGAAGCCGACGGCUAACUACGUGCCAGCAGCCGCCGGUAAUCACGAGAGUA
Molecule: ribosomal RNA, 494 nt
Filed under: uncultured bacterium
Lineage: Bacteria
Description: bacterial SSU rRNA
Rfam family: Bacterial small subunit ribosomal RNA
Source: RNAcentral